UCCCUGGUGGCUCAGACGGUAAAGUGUCUGCCUACAAUGCGGGAGACCCGGGUUCGAUCCCUGGGUUGGGAA
This 72-nucleotide transfer RNA is filed under the name Bos taurus (domestic cattle). It matches the Rfam family "tRNA". Rfam says of the family: Transfer RNA (tRNA) molecules are approximately 80 nucleotides in length. Their secondary structure includes four short double-helical elements and three loops (D, anti-codon, and T loops). Further hydrogen bonds mediate the characteristic L-shaped molecular structure. tRNAs have two regions of fundamental functional importance: the anti-codon, which is responsible for specific mRNA codon recognition, and the 3' end, to which the tRNAs corresponding amino acid is attached (by aminoacyl-tRNA synthetases). tRNAs cope with the degeneracy of the genetic code in two manners: having more than one tRNA (with a specific anti-codon) for a particular amino acid; and 'wobble' base-pairing, i.e. permitting non-standard base-pairing at the 3rd anti-codon position. RNAcentral also lists the same sequence under 4 other names. The record is from Rfam by way of RNAcentral. Lineage: Eukaryota; Metazoa; Chordata; Mammalia; Artiodactyla; Bovidae.